UGGGGAAUAUUGGGCAAUGGGGCGAAAGCCUGACCCAGCAACGCCGCGUGAAGGAAGAAGGUUUUCGGAUUGUAAACUUCUUUUAUCAGGGACGAAGAAAGUGACGGUACCUGAUGAAUAAGCCACGGCUAACUACGUGCCAGCAGCCGCGGUAAUACGUAGGUGGCAAGCGUUAUCCGGAUUUACUGGGUGUAAAGGGCGCGCAGGCGGGCCGGCAAGUUGGAAGUGAAAUCUAUGGGCUUAACCCAUAAACUGCUUUCAAAACUGCUGGUCUUGAGUGAUGGAGAGGCAGGCGGAAUUCCGUGUGUAGCGGUGAAAUGCGUAGAUAUACGGAGGAACACCAGUGGCGAAGGCGGCCUGCUGG
This 364-nucleotide ribosomal RNA is filed under the name uncultured Oscillospiraceae bacterium. RNAcentral's name for it is "bacterial SSU rRNA". It matches the Rfam family "Bacterial small subunit ribosomal RNA", at positions 355 to 732 of the family's 1533-position model. Lineage: Bacteria; Bacillati; Bacillota; Clostridia; Eubacteriales; Oscillospiraceae. The record is from RNAcentral.